This 26-nucleotide non-coding RNA is filed under the name Mus musculus (house mouse). Lineage: Eukaryota; Metazoa; Chordata; Mammalia; Rodentia; Muridae. The record is from RNAcentral.
UGGAAGUCUUACUCAUGAGGGUUGAC